Molecule: ribosomal RNA, 97 nt
Filed under: uncultured bacterium
Lineage: Bacteria
Description: partial 16S ribosomal RNA
Rfam family: Bacterial small subunit ribosomal RNA
Source: RNAcentral
CACCGCCCGUCACACCACGAAAGCAAGCAACACCCGAAGUCGGUGAGCUAACUCGCAAGAGAGGCAGCCGCCGAAGGUGGGGCUCGUGAUUGGGGUG